Molecule: ribosomal RNA, 714 nt
Filed under: uncultured Acremonium
Lineage: Eukaryota; Fungi; Ascomycota
Description: eukaryotic LSU rRNA
Rfam family: Eukaryotic large subunit ribosomal RNA
Source: RNAcentral
GCGCAGGAAAAGAAACCAACAGGGAUUGCCUCAGUAACGGCGAGUGAAGCGGCAACAGCUCAAAUUUGAAAUCUGGCCGCAAGGUCCGAGUUGUAAUUUGUAGAGGAUGCUUUUGGCGAGGUGACUUCCGAGUUCCCUGGAACGGGACGCCAUAGAGGGUGAGAGCCCCGUACGGUCGUGCCACCGAGCCUCUGUAAAGCUCCUUCGACGAGUCGAGUAGUUUGGGAAUGCUGCUCUAAAUGGGAGGUGUACGCCUUCUAAAGCUAAAUACCGGCCAGAGACCGAUAGCGCACAAGUAGAGUGAUCGAAAGAUGAAAAGCACUUUGAAAAGAGGGUUAAAAAGUACGUGAAAUUGUUGAAAGGGAAGCAUUCAUGACCAGACUUGGGCUUGGUUGAACAUCCGGCGUUCUCGCCGGUGCACUCUGCCAGCUCAGGCCAGCAUCAGUUUGCCCCGGGGGACAAAGGCAGCGGGAAUGUGGCUCCCUACGGGGAGUGUUAUAGCCCGUCGUGUAAUGCCCUGGGGUGGACUGAGGUUCGCGCUUCGGCACGGAUGCUGGCGUAAUGGUCAUCAAUGACCCGUCUUGAAACACGGACCAAGGAGUCGUCUUCGUAUGCGAGUGUUCGGGUGUCUAACCCCUACGCGUAAUGAAAGUGAACGUAGGUGAGAGCUUCGGCGCAUCACCGACCGAUCCUGAUGUUCUCGGAUGGAUUUGA